This 179-nucleotide ribosomal RNA is filed under the name uncultured eukaryote. RNAcentral's name for it is "partial 18S ribosomal RNA". It matches the Rfam family "Eukaryotic small subunit ribosomal RNA", at positions 1299 to 1458 of the family's 1831-position model. The record is from RNAcentral.
UGGUGGAGUGAUUUGUCUGGUUGAUUCCGUUAACGAACGAGAUCUCGACUCUUCAAUGACAGUGCGAUCGUUCUGUAGUUCAAUGCUCAUUCCUCUGGUUUCGAGUUUGUACGAGAUCGUUUCUAGUACUCAAGAGGAUUAUGCAUGUCUACAAUGCAUUGAAAUGCGAGCCAAUAGCA